AACGAACGCUGGCGGCGUGCCUAAUACAUGCAAGUAGAACGCUGAAGGAGGAGCUUGCUCUUCUGGAUGAGUUGCGAACGGGUGAGUAACGCGUAGGUAACCUGCCUGGUAGCGGGGGGUAACUAUUGGAAACGAUAGCUAAUACCGCAUAAUAGUAGAUGUUGCAUGACAUUUGCUUGAAAGGUGCAAUUGCAUCACUACCAGAUGGACCUGCGUUGUAUUAGCUAGUUGGUGGGGUAACGGCUCACCAAGGCGACGAUACAUAGCCGACCUGAGAGGGUGAUCGGCCACACUGGGACUGAGACACGGCCCAGACUCCUACGGGAGGCAGCAGUAGGGAAUCUUCGGCAAUGGACGGAAGUCUGACCGAGCAACGCCGCGUGAGUGAAGAAGGUUUUCGGAUCGUAAAGCUCUGUUGUAAGAGAAGAACGAGUGUGAGAGUGGAAAGUUCACACUGUGACGGUAUCUUACCAGAAAGGGACGGCUAACUACGUGC
Molecule: ribosomal RNA, 496 nt
Filed under: uncultured Streptococcus sp.
Lineage: Bacteria; Bacillati; Bacillota; Bacilli; Lactobacillales; Streptococcaceae
Description: bacterial SSU rRNA
Rfam family: Bacterial small subunit ribosomal RNA
Source: RNAcentral